This 239-nucleotide ribosomal RNA is filed under the name uncultured bacterium. RNAcentral describes it as "partial 16S ribosomal RNA". It matches the Rfam family "Bacterial small subunit ribosomal RNA", at positions 95 to 334 of the family's 1533-position model. The record is from RNAcentral.
UUGGCGGACGGGUGAGUAACGCGUGGGUAACCUGCCUUGUACUGGGGGACAACAGUUGGAAACGACUGCUAAUACCGCAUAAGCGCACAGCUUCGCAUGAAGCAGUGUGGAAAACUCCGGUGGUACAAGAUGGACCCGCGUCUGAUUAGCUGGUUGGUGAGGUAACGGCCCACCAAGGCGACGACCAGUAGCCGGCCUGAGAGGGUGAACGGCCACAUUGGGACUGAGACACGGCCCAA